Molecule: non-coding RNA, 29 nt
Filed under: Rattus norvegicus (Norway rat)
Lineage: Eukaryota; Metazoa; Chordata; Mammalia; Rodentia; Muridae
Source: RNAcentral
UGGGAUGAAUAGCCAGUCUAGGCCUCCUU